Papaver somniferum (opium poppy) is the source of this 832-nucleotide long non-coding RNA. RefSeq lists it as uncharacterized. The record is from RefSeq and is a predicted model, not a curated record. The transcript is spliced from 3 exons. Lineage: Eukaryota; Viridiplantae; Streptophyta; Magnoliopsida; Ranunculales; Papaveraceae.
GAAAAGACGAAUUUCUUCCUCUUCAUUUAGAAAUUGGGGACUUCACCAUGAAAGCAUCUCCUUCAUUCUCCUCGAUUAACUAUGAAAUUCAGGACAAAAAUCUUUGAAAACAUCCCUCCUCUUCGUUCUCCUCCAUCAACUUAAUCUAUCACAGAAACAAAAAUACAGCAAAACGAAGAUUUGGGUUUUUUCCCCUCUCGCCAAUCAUCCAUGACAAAGGUGGUAGUAGAUGAACAAGAAAAAAUUCGAAGAGACUUCCCAAGUCAUGGGACGUAUGGUGGUAAGAUUGUUGUGGAGCUCGAUUCUAUAUCGGGAUUUUGAAACUGCUUAGUUGACAGUUCAAAUGGCGGUUACUUAAGUAAGCUCCACAAGUUAUCUACUUGCAUCUACAGUUGAAGAAACGAGCAAUUAUUGAAGAUUUCCAUGAGAAACAAGAGCAGGUGUGUGUCUACAGUUUCCUUGAUGUUUAAUUUUUCUUGGAACGGAAAGGAAAGCCAUCGCCUAUUCCCUGGAUAGAGGGAGGUAUACAAUAUAGUGAUUUACCUGAAUUGAAAUUUUGAUCAAAAUUGGGGAAAAAUUGUUUCUGGUUAUGUAAAUUAUUAAGAUGAUAAUGGAGAUUUGGUGAUGGUGGAGUGUUAGAGAUUGUGACAGACGUCGAAGACGAUGAUAGUGAGACACAAGGGUUUAGUAGCGGGGAUGAGGGAGAUUUUCCGGGGAGCGGUUUAAAUUUUUAGUGGCUAUGUAAUUAUGUAUAAAUUUUUGAUUCAUUAAAAUGAGAGUAAUUUCAACUUAUUGUUGUUUUUUUUUUAUAAUAAAUGUUUCUUAUUCCAAA